This 148-nucleotide non-coding RNA is filed under the name Gorilla gorilla gorilla (western lowland gorilla). The record is from Rfam by way of RNAcentral. Lineage: Eukaryota; Metazoa; Chordata; Mammalia; Primates; Hominidae.
GCUGGGUGUGGUGGCGUGCACCUGUAAUCCCAGCUACUUGGGAGGCUGAGGCAGGAGAAUCGCUUGAAUCUGGGAGGCAGAGGUUGCAGUGGGCAGAGAUCAUGCCACUGCACUCCAGCCUGGGCGACAGAGCAAGACUCUGUCUCAA